UCAGCAUUACCAGACGUUAUUCUCUUAAACUCCCUCUUCAACUUAUUCAGAUCAGACUUAUAUUCCCUUAAUUUGGCAAGGAGCAUAGCCUUCACAUUCGGCUGUAGACUUCUCGCCUCAAGGUCCAUUUUCCGAAUCAACACAUCACAAUCAUCCAGUCCAGAUUUUAUCUCGGAGAUCUUCACCUUCUUCUCCUCUCCAUCGGAAAGAAGAGAAGUGGAGUUGCAUUUACGGGAGAGAUUUGCAGAGAGUUCGCAGUACUGGCGCUCGUAUCCUUCGAAGACAUCACUCAUGAUUGCUGAGGAAGAUGAGGAUUGAGAAGAUGUUCGAUUAGAGCAGAGAGGCCAAGUGAGUGCCCAGAGAAAUGAACGGAUGUAAAAUGCCAACCAACGCAACCGUAAAUACUUUAGAAAUGGAUGACUUCGGACAGC
This 431-nucleotide unclassified non-coding RNA is filed under the name Hevea brasiliensis (rubber tree). The record is from RNAcentral. Lineage: Eukaryota; Viridiplantae; Streptophyta; Magnoliopsida; Malpighiales; Euphorbiaceae.